CUUAGCUACUGCGGAAGGAUCAUUA
RNAcentral lists this ribosomal RNA (25 nucleotides) under Amanita oberwinkleriana. Its description in RNAcentral is "partial 18S ribosomal RNA". The record is from RNAcentral. Lineage: Eukaryota; Fungi; Basidiomycota; Agaricomycetes; Agaricales; Amanitaceae.